RNAcentral lists this ribosomal RNA (468 nucleotides) under uncultured bacterium. RNAcentral describes it as "partial 16S ribosomal RNA". It matches the Rfam family "Bacterial small subunit ribosomal RNA", at positions 28 to 507 of the family's 1533-position model. The record is from RNAcentral.
GACGAACGCUGGCGGCGUGCUUAACACAUGCAAGUCGAACGGAAAGGCCCUGCUUGUGUGGGGUGCUCGAUUGGCGAACGGGUGCGUAAGACGUGAGUAACCUGCCCUUGACUUUGGGAUAACUUCAGGAAACUGGGGCUAAUACCGGAUAGGAGCUCCUGCUGCAUGGUGGGGGUUGGAAAGUUUCGGCGGUAUGGGAUGGACUCGCGGCUGAUCAGCUUGUUGGUGGGGUAGUGGCUUACCAAGGCUUUGACGGGUAGCCGGCCUGAGAGGGUGACCGGCGACAUUGGGACUGAGAUACGGAGCAGACUCCUACGGGAGGCAGCAGUGGGGAAUAUUGCACAAUGGGCGGAAGCCGGAUGCAGCAACGCCGCGUGCGGGAUGACGGUCUUCGGGUUGUAAACCGCUUUCGCCUGUGACGAAGCGUGAGUGACGGUAAUGGGUAAAGAAGCACCGGCUAACUACGUG